GAGUGGCGCACGGGUGAGUAACGCGUGGAUAUCUGCCUUUUGGUUCGGAAUAACCCCGGGAAACUGGGGCUAAUACCGGAUGGUUCCGGGAUAAAGAUUUAUCGCCAAAAGAUGAGUCCGCGUACGAUUAGCUAGUUGGUGAGGUAAUGGCUCACCAAGGCGACGAUCGUUAGCUGGUCUGAGAGGACGAUCAGCCACACUGGGACUGAGACACGGCCCAGACUCCUACAGGAGGCAGCAGUGGGGAAUAUUGGACAAUGGGGGCAACCCUGAUCCAGCCAUGCCGCGUGAGUGAUGAAGGCCUUCGGGUUGUAAAGCUCUUUUGGCGGGGACGAUGAUGACGGUACCCGCAGAAUAAGCCCCGGCUAACUUCGUGCCAGCAGCCGCGGUAAGACGAAGGGGGCUAGCGUUGUUCGGAAUUACUGGGCGUAAAGCGCGUGUAGGCGGUUAUCCAAGUCGGGUGUGAAAGCCUUGAGCUUAACUCGAGAAAUGCACUCGGUACUGGGUGACUAGAGGACCGGAGAGGAUAGUGGAAGUCCCAGUGUAGUGGUGAAAUACGUAGAGAUUGGGAAGAACACCAGUGGCGAAGGCGGCUAUCUGGACGGUUUC
Molecule: ribosomal RNA, 609 nt
Filed under: uncultured bacterium
Lineage: Bacteria
Description: bacterial SSU rRNA
Rfam family: Bacterial small subunit ribosomal RNA
Source: RNAcentral